UCCCCGCCACACACCCUGGCAACCGGAUUUUAAACCAGUGUCUACUCUUGUGUAUGCGUUCUUCCCAGGAGUUGUGGUCCCACCAGUCUGUCUUGGCUCUUUCCUGUCUACAGCUCUUAUCAUUUCUGCUCCUCCCUUCUAACUGGUUCUGAUCUGGUUCAGGGUGCUGGUCCCUGAGCACUUGGACCGGCCCCUGAAAUCAAUACUCGUGGUUCCGCGUGGGAACCCACCCCUGGUCCGCCCUCUCCCGGCUGAGGUGGCUACUGGGGCUGCGGCCGUUUCUGGGACUUCGAGUUGCUGCUGCACAGCUUUCUACCUUGCCGGACUGCCCCUAGUCAACUUCUGCAGAGACUGACCUAGAGACCGCAUCCUGCAAGUCAUAAGUGGAACUAUUUGUAAGCAGACUGGGUCCACUGAAAUCUGCCUAUGAAUAUAAUAGAAUUGUCUUUGCUGACCUCUUCAUUAUGAAUCUAAUUCUUUGGGUGGAAGAAUCAUUAGCUGCCAUCUCCUUUGAUGUCCAUGUCACCCAACCAGAUCCUGUGGCAGAUUCCUGAAUAGAGCUUCUUCACAAACCAUUUCUUGGCAUUGUAAUUGGUGGCAUUUUAUCCUUUGGCUGUAUUUUUAUUGAACUUUUUCAUUAUGAAAAGUAUUUGUGGCCUUCCAUGGGCAGUUUCAUUUAUAAUUCCUCUGCCAAAAUCAUUUUGAAGGCCAUUGAGUGGGUCGUCAUGUGUACUGAGCUGGACAGUUGGAUUUCCCCCCUCUUCUUGUUUAUGACUACAGUCUUCAGUGUGGCGAAAGUGGAUUAAAGAGUUUCCCCCAAAGGCUUCCAGGCAUAUCAUCCUUGCUUUUGAAUAUCUGUAUCAACAUCAAUAGAGAUAUAUGUGUACUCCUAAUUAUAUAAAUUUUAAUUAUAUAUAAAUGUAAAAUCUCA
Long non-coding RNA from Ictidomys tridecemlineatus (thirteen-lined ground squirrel), 931 nucleotides. RefSeq lists it as uncharacterized. The record is from RefSeq and is a predicted model, not a curated record. NCBI's taxonomy places the organism in Eukaryota, Metazoa, Chordata, Mammalia, Rodentia, Sciuridae.